This 503-nucleotide ribosomal RNA is filed under the name uncultured bacterium. Its description in RNAcentral is "partial 16S ribosomal RNA". It matches the Rfam family "Bacterial small subunit ribosomal RNA", at positions 28 to 507 of the family's 1533-position model. The record is from RNAcentral.
GACGAACGCUGGCGGCGUGCUUAACACAUGCAAGUCGAACGGUGAAGCGCUUUCCUUUUUGGUUGGUGUGGAUGAGUGGCGAACGGGUGAGUAACACGUGAGUAACCUGCCCCCUUCUUCUGGAUAACCGCAUGAAAGUGUGGCUAAUACGGGAUAUUCUGCGCCUGCUGCAUGGUGGGUGUGGGAAAGAUUGUGCCUUUGGGUGUUUUCGGUGGGGGAUGGGCUCGCGGCCUAUCAGCUUGUUGGUGGGGUGAUGGCCUACCAAGGCGGUGACGGGUAGCCGGCCUGAGAGGGUGGACGGUCACACUGGGACUGGGACACGGCCCAGACUCCUACGGGAGGCAGCAGUGGGGAAUAUUGCACAAUGGGCGCAAGCCUGAUGCAGCGACGCCGCGUGAGGGAGGGAGGCCUUCGGGUUGUGAACCUCUUUCGCCAGUGAAGCAGGCCUGCUCCGUGUGGGUGGGUUGACGGUAGCUGGAUAAGAAGCGCCGGCUAACUACGUG